AACGAACGCUGGCGGCAGGCCUAACACAUGCAAGUCGAGCGCACCUUCGGGUGAGCGGCGGACGGGUUAGUAACGCGUGGGAAUAUACCCUUUGGUACGGAAUAGCCUCUGGAAACGGAGAGUAAUACCGUAUGAGCCCUUCGGGGGAAAGAUUUAUCGCCAAAGGAUUAGCCCGCGUUAGAUUAGGUAGUUGGUGGGGUAAUGGCCUACCAAGCCUACGAUCUAUAGCUGGUUUUAGAGGAUGAUCAGCAACACUGGGACUGAGACACGGCCCAGACUCCUACGGGAGGCAGCAGUGGGGAAUCUUGGACAAUGGGCGCAAGCCUGAUCCAGCCAUGCCGCGUGAGUGAUGAAGGCCUUAGGGUCGUAAAGCUCUUUCGCCUGUGAAGAUAAUGACGGUAGCAGGUAAAGAAACCCCGGCUAACUCCGUGCCAGCAGCCGCGGUAAUACGGAGGGGGUUAGCGUUGUUCGGAAUUACUGGGCGUAAAGCGCACGUAGGCGGACUGGAAAGUUGGGGGUGAAAUCCCAGGGCUCAACCCUGGAACUGCCUCCAAAACUAUCAGUCUAGAGUUCGAGAGAGGUGAGUGGAAUUCCGAGUGUAGAGGUGAAAUUCGUAGAUAUUCGGAGGAACACCAGUGGCGAAGGCGGCUCACUGGCUCGAUACUGACGCUGAGGUGCGAAAGUGUGGGGAGCAAACAGGAUUAGAUACCCUGGUAGUCCACACCGUAAACGAUGAAUGCCAGUCGUCGGGUAGCAUGCUAUUCGGUGACACACCUAACGGAUUAAGC
RNAcentral lists this ribosomal RNA (788 nucleotides) under Ruegeria atlantica. RNAcentral describes it as "bacterial SSU rRNA". It matches the Rfam family "Bacterial small subunit ribosomal RNA", at positions 28 to 865 of the family's 1533-position model. Lineage: Bacteria; Pseudomonadati; Pseudomonadota; Alphaproteobacteria; Rhodobacterales; Roseobacteraceae. The record is from RNAcentral.